UAACACGUGGGUAACCUGCCCAUAAGACUGGGAUAACUCCGGGAAACCGGGGCUAAUACCGGAUAACAUUUUGAACCGCAUGGUUCGAAAUUGAAAGGCGGCUUCGGCUGUCACUUAUGGAUGGACCCGCGUCGCAUUAGCUAGUUGGUGAGGUAACGGCUCACCAAGGCAACGAUGCGUAGCCGACCUGAGAGGGUGAUCGGCCACACUGGGACUGAGACACGGCCCAGACUCCUACGGGAGGCAGCAGUAGGGAAUCUUCCGCAAUGGACGAAAGUCUGACGGAGCAACGCCGCGUGAGUGAUGAAGGCUUUCGGGUCGUAAAACUCUGUUGUUAGGGAAGAACAAGUGCUAGUUGAAUAAGCUGGCACCUUGACGGUACCUAACCAGAAAGCCACGGCUAACUACGUGCCAGCAGCCGCGGUAAUACGUAGGUGGCAAGCGUUAUCCGGAAUUAUUGGCGUAAAGCGCGCGCACGUGGUUUCUUAAGUCUGAUGUGAAAGCCCACGGCUCAACCGUGGAGGGUCAUUGGAAAACUGGGAGACUUGAGUGCAGAAGGAGGAAAGUGGAAUUCCAUGUGUAGCGGUGAAAUGCGUAGAGAUAUG
RNAcentral lists this ribosomal RNA (605 nucleotides) under Bacillus cereus. RNAcentral's name for it is "bacterial SSU rRNA". It matches the Rfam family "Bacterial small subunit ribosomal RNA", at positions 111 to 700 of the family's 1533-position model. Lineage: Bacteria; Bacillati; Bacillota; Bacilli; Caryophanales; Bacillaceae. The record is from RNAcentral.